GCGGAAGGAUCAUUGUCGUGACCUUAAACAAAACAGACCGUGAACAUGUCAUCCAUGCUGCUGAGCUUCGGCUUGGCUUAGGCCCCCGACCUCUGUUUCAUAGGAGAGGGGCCACAAAAGAACCCACGGCGCCGAAGGCGUCAAGGAACACUGAUAUUGCCUUGCUCGGGGCUGCGGCUGGCUUGCCAGUCGUGCCUCGUGCAGCGAUGCUAUAUGAAUCAACACGACUCUCGGCAACGGAUAUCUCGGCUCUCGCAUCGAUGAAGAACGUAGCAAAAUGCGAUACCUGGUGUGAAUUGCAGAAUCCCGCGAACCAUCGAGUUUUUGAACGCAAGUUGCGCCCGAGGCCUUCUGGUCGAGGGCACGCCUGCCUGGGCGUCACGCCAAAAGACACUCCCAACCCAUCCUUGGGAACGGACGUGGUGUAUGGCUCCUCGUGCUGCAUGGCACGGUGGGCCGAAGUUGGGGCUGCUGGCAUAUCUUGCCGGGCACCGCACGUGGUGGGCGACAUUUGUUGUUCUCGGUGCAGCGUCCCGGUACGGAGCUGGCUUCUUGGCCCUAAGGACCCAUAUAGACCGCAGCGCUU
This 586-nucleotide ribosomal RNA is filed under the name Megathyrsus maximus. RNAcentral's name for it is "eukaryotic LSU rRNA". The stretch from base 226 to 381 matches the Rfam family "5.8S ribosomal RNA". The record is from RNAcentral. Lineage: Eukaryota; Viridiplantae; Streptophyta; Magnoliopsida; Poales; Poaceae.